RNAcentral lists this ribosomal RNA (743 nucleotides) under Amanita curtipes. Its description in RNAcentral is "partial 28S ribosomal RNA". It matches the Rfam family "Eukaryotic large subunit ribosomal RNA", at positions 80 to 923 of the family's 3401-position model. The record is from RNAcentral. Lineage: Eukaryota; Fungi; Basidiomycota; Agaricomycetes; Agaricales; Amanitaceae.
UUANNANCUGCCAGUGAAGCGGGAAAAGCUCAAAUUUNNNAUCUGGCAGCGUUUGGUUGUCCGAGUNGUAACCUAGAGAANUGCANCCUGNGCUGGACCAUGUAUAANUCUCCUGGAACGGANUGUCACAGANGGUGANAAUCCCGUGUNUGACAUGGACUGCCAGUGCAUUGUGGCGUGCUCUCAAAGAGUCGAGUNGUUUGGGAAUGCANCUCUNAACCGGUGGUAAAUUCCNUGGGNAUCNNCCGGGGNUUNUNNCUUUGGGUGUAUUUCCUGGUUGACAGGUCAACAUCAGUUCUGACCAGUAGAAAAAGGGCAAGGAAAUGUGGCACCUUCGGGUGUGUUAUAGUCCUUGGUUGUAUCUGGUGGUUGGGACUGAGGGAUGCAGCACACCGUAAGGGCCGUGGCCAGGUCAUUCAAUGGGCUGGCGACGUUUGUGCUUAGGAUGUUGGCAUAAUGGCUUUAAGUGACCCGUCUUGAAACACGGACCAAGGAGUCUAACAUGCAUGCAAGUGUUUGGGUGGAAAACCCAAGUGCGGAAUGAAAGUGAAAGUUGAGAUCCCUGUCAUGGGGAGCAUCGACGCCCAGACCAGAACUUUUGGGACGGAUCUGCGGUAGAGCAUGUAUGUUGGGACCCGAAAGAUGGUGAACUAUGCCUGAAUAGGGUGAAGCCAGAGGAAACUCUGGUGGAGGCUCGUAGCGAUUCUGACGUGCAAAUCGAUCGUNGAAUUUGGGUAUAGGGC